Molecule: transfer RNA, 96 nt
Filed under: Salmo salar (Atlantic salmon)
Lineage: Eukaryota; Metazoa; Chordata; Actinopteri; Salmoniformes; Salmonidae
Rfam family: tRNA
About the family: Transfer RNA (tRNA) molecules are approximately 80 nucleotides in length. Their secondary structure includes four short double-helical elements and three loops (D, anti-codon, and T loops).
Source: Rfam by way of RNAcentral
UCCCGUGUGGCUCAGUUGGUAGAGCAUGGUGUUUGCAACGCCAGGGUUGUGGGUGUUUGCAACGCCAGGGUUGUGGGUUCUAUUCCCACGGGGGAC